Long non-coding RNA from Heterocephalus glaber (naked mole-rat), 3921 nucleotides. NCBI's taxonomy places the organism in Eukaryota, Metazoa, Chordata, Mammalia, Rodentia, Bathyergidae. The record is from Ensembl.
AUUCUUUAUGGCUGAGUAGUACUCCAUUUUAUAAAGAAACCACAUUUUCUUUACCCAGUUUCCAGUUGAUGGGCACUUGGGCUCCUUCCAAGCUUUAGCUAUUACAAACUGUGCUGCUAUGAACAUGGGUGCGCAUAUAUCACUGUGGCAUGAUUCUUUUAAUUCUUUUUGGAAGAUACCCAGCAGGGGAAUAGCUGGGUCAAAUGGGACCUGUAGUCCUAGUUCUUUGAGGUAUCUCCAUAUUGACUUCCACUGUGGUUGCACCAGUCUGCACUCCCACCAGCAAUGAAGAAGUGUUCCUUUCUCCCCACAACCCUGCCAGCAUUUGUUAUUUGUUGAUUUCUUGAUAGCAACCAUUGUUUGUGGGGUGAGGUGGAAUCUCAGUGUUGUUUUCCUCUGCAUCUCUCGAAUGAUGAGUGAUGUUGAACAUUUUUUCAUAUAUUUGUUUGCUGCUUUUACUUCUUUGUCUGAGAAAUGUCUGUUCAUUUCAGAUGCCCAUUUUUGAAUUGGGUCUUUGAAUUUGGGGGGUCUGAUUUUUUUCAAUUCUUUAUAUAUUUUAGGUAGUAGUCCUUUGUCUGAGGUACAGCUGCUAAAAUUUUUUUCCCAUAUUGUUAGGUUGUCUCUUAGCUCUGUUGCUGGUUUCUUUUGCAGUGCAGAAGCUUUUUAAUAAGAUGAGAUCCCAGUUGUUGAUUCUUUCUGCUAGUUCCCGUGCUGCUGAAGUUUUGUUCAUGAAAUCUUUUCCUAUGCCAAUGUCUUCAAGAGUUCUACCUAACAUCUUCCAGCAAGUCCUGGAAUAGCUAAAGCAAUUCUAAGCAACAGAGACAUGGCUGGGGGUAUCACAAUCCCCAACUUGAAACUAUACUACAAAGCUACUGUGAUAAAAUCAGCAUGGUACUGGCAAAGGAACAGACCUGAGGAUCAGUGGAAUAGAUUAGAAGAUGCAGAAACAACUCCAGACACACUCAGCCACCUCAUCUUUGACAAAGGAGCCAACCACCGUCAUUGGAGGAAAGAUAGCUUAUUUAAUAAAUGGUAUUGAAAAAACUGGAUGUCAACCUGCCAAAGAUUGAAACUAGACCCAUACCUACAACCAUGCACUAAACUAAGAUCGAAGUGGAUUAAAGAUAUAACUAUUAAGACAGAAACACUAAAAUGUAUUUAUCUUUAGAAAUAAAUUGAUGCAGGCCUGGGAUUUAGCUCAGUGUUUCUACCACCUGCCUCGCAAGCACAAGGUACCGAGUUCGAUCCCUGGUACCAAAAGAAAAAAAAAAGAAAUAAAUUGAUGCAAUUUGAGUUGACCACAUUUUGGGACAGUUCCUGAUCAGAGUUUUCCUAUGUUAAUGCCAUUUAAGUUGUCAUACAAAUUUAAUUAACAUAACCGUGGAACCUUGGGUACUGUGGAGAAAGAGGUGUGGAGGUGAAUAGGUUACCAAAUUGUCAUGUACUUAGAAAAUUAAAGAACAUAGGACUUUAAAUUAUGAAUUUUAAAAAUUAGGAUACUUGAAAGUGGAAAUCCAAACAGUAAAAAUUCCCCUGGUUCAUGUGACUUAAGGGAGAGGGAUGGAAGGCAAGGGUAGGAGGAAUGGUUUGGAAAUUGCUUGCCAAAAAGUAGUUGUCAUAGUUUAUUGCAUAUCUCCUGUAUACCUAAUGAAAUGCAAUAAACUAUAUGUCUCCUUCUCUGGUCCUACGGAAUUUCCUUUCUUUGCCAGGGUGGGGCAAGUCACUCACAUAUGAAGUGAUUCAUUAUAACUGCCUAAGAUUUGUGUGACUGUGAAAAUAAAUGGAUGCCUGUGAAAGAUUCCUUGGCUUCUCCUCUCUUAUCCCUCUUUCCCAGCAGGAGCACUUGCUUGCUGUUCACUUUGGGUACUGGAAUGCUGGGACCAGCUCCACACAUAGAUUCUAGCCUUUGUUGAUCACUUUCACCCCUGAAGCAAUUGAGAAACCACCUAGAGGAAAAAAAGAUGGGAGAGAAAUAGAGGAUAAAGCAAAAGAAAGUGAGUAUACAAGAAGCCCAGCAUAAAAUAUAAGGGAUCUCAAAGUGGGUACUUGGUUCUUACUAUCUUAGGAACACUUUAAACCAAAGGAUUUGCUCUCGCAGAAUUUUAGAAUUCAAUGUAACCUUACAAAUAAUAUAGUUCAUAGGCUUCAUUUUAAGAGUAAGGAAAGAAUAGAAAGGUUAAAUGACAUGGUCAUGGUCACACAAAUAGUGGUAUUGUCUACUGACUGGCCACCAUGCUGCUACUUGUCUUUAUUUUUAGGGUGAGCAAAGUAGGCCAUUUACCUCAGAGUUUUGGUGGAAAGGCUAAGAUCAUUAGGUACUUCAUUUUGGCCAAUGAAUGGGCAAUUUCCAAACUUUAUCUUUCUCAUUUCCUGUAUUUGACACUGUUGAUUCCUCAUCUUUUCUUGACAUUCUCUAUUUUUUCCUUUUCUGUGUCUGCUUGAUUUUUGCUCCUUUUAAUGUGAGUUUUAUUAUUAAUUUCCUUCAGAGGACCUCAUUAGGCUUGCACUCCUUGCCAUUGAGGCUUCAGAGGCCUGCCCUCAGUCCUCUGUUCUUUGCCCUCUUCAUAUUCGCUUUGGAAGAUCUCAACAUUUAUUUAGUACUUUUUAUAAACCCCAUACCAUGCCAGAAACCAAGCAAUAUCAGAUGCAGCCACUGGGCCAUGGGGUGAGUGAUCCUUUUCAUUUUUGGUGCCCCAGCUGCUGCUAAUAGUUGAGGAUUCUUAAUUCUAUAGCUCUUGUUAUGAUUGAUGCCCUGGGCUGCACAUUUACAUCAGGUUGGAUGAACCAUGGAAACCACAAACUUGAUAUCCUUAACAUGGACUCUCAACUUUUUCCUUCCACAUUGUCUUCUAUGUCUGCCUUUCUUCCUGAAUUCUGUAUCUCAAUGCCAAAGUCACUUAGUGACUCCAUCCAAAAGUAGAAAGUCAGUUUUGGUUCAUUUUCUUUCUUUCCCUUCCAGUGACAAAUUCUUGUCCCCUCUACCUUACUCCUACUCUCCUUUGUCUCUUUAUCAAUUUGCUUGUGGUUUUCCAGUAGGCUCCUGAUUGGAUUUUAUUUUCCAGGCUAUCUUCUCUUCCUGUGCUCUUCCUAAAAUCCACUCUUCACAGGGUUGGUAGAGUGAUGGUCCAGACCACAGUGGAAAUCUAACCAUGUUAGUCUUUGCUUAAAUCCCUGUUGAGGAGCUGGGGGUGUGGUUCAGUGAUAGAGUGCUUGUCUAACAUGCAUGAGGCUCUGUGUUCUAUCCAUAGCACCACACACACACACACACACACACACACACACACACAUGCACACGCACGCACCUCUAAUUUCCCACAUCUGAUAGAGUAAAGCCCAGUCUCUAGGUUGUCUGUAACCUGACUGUGCCCUGUGCUACCUGCCCUUCAUACCCAUCUGCUUGCCAGGGUCUGACAAUGUCAUUCUGUUUCUUAAGUCAGAUUUUCACCCUUGUGCCAUUUUCUCUGUCUGAAAUAUAAUACCCCAACUCAUGGCUUACAGCUCUGUAUCACUUAGUGAAACAAACAAAUUAUUAAAAAUUUCAAAUAUUCAUUCAAAGAGAAAGAAAGGCACAAUGAAUUCCUGAAUUCAGUAUUCAGAUUUUGAUCCACUUCCUUCCCCAUGUGAGGGCACUAGGAGUUGGCAGUCUGAGGUCUGGAAGAGGGCCCUGGACAGAGCUGGAACCAAACCAUGCUGGUAGCCUGAUCUUGAAGUGCUGAUCUAGAGCUGUGAGAUACAAUGUUUACUGUUUAGGCCAACAGUAUACAGUAAUUUGUUAUAGCAACCUAAAUUAAGGCAGUAGUCCAAAAAAGUAUCUUUAAGGCUAGAUUUGGGACAUUGCCCUAAUGAAAUGAUUAUUAAUAAAAAUUAUGUCUGUGAAGAAUUGUGGUCCCUGAUAGACACAUGACCUUUGAAAUGCUGUCC